Molecule: ribosomal RNA, 414 nt
Filed under: uncultured bacterium
Lineage: Bacteria
Description: bacterial SSU rRNA
Rfam family: Bacterial small subunit ribosomal RNA
Source: RNAcentral
AAUCAACGCUGGCGGCGUGCCUAACACAUGCAAGUCGAACGCGAGAGGGGCUUCGGCCCCGAUUGAGUGGCGAACGGGUGAGUAACGCGUGGGUGACCUACCUUCGAGUGGGGGAUAACGUCCCGAAAGGGACGCUAAUACCGCAUAACAUCCUGCUUUUGAAUGGGUGGAGAUCAAAGCCGGGGAUCGCAAGACCUGGCGCUUGAUGAGGGGCCCGCGUCUGAUUAGCUAGNGGUGAGGUAACGGCCCACCAAGGCAACGAUCAGUAUCCGGCCUGAGAGGGCGGACGGUCACACUGACACUGAAUAACGGGUCAGACUCCUACGGGAGGCAGCAGUCGGGAAUUUGGGCAAUGGGCGAAAGCCUGACCCAGCAACGCCGCGUGAAGGAUGAAAUCUUUCGGGAUGUAAACUU